Molecule: long non-coding RNA, 223 nt
Filed under: Durio zibethinus
Lineage: Eukaryota; Viridiplantae; Streptophyta; Magnoliopsida; Malvales; Malvaceae
Description: long non-coding RNA (DZIB_LNC000098)
Source: RNAcentral
AAAAAAUAGGCAAAGGAGACAAACAAACCAAAAAAAGGGCAAAUAGGAGAAUAAGAGGGAAGAACCAAACUAGAAAUGAAUAAAAAAAUUAAAGAAAAAAAUUAAAAAUAAAAAUGGUUGGAAAAAAGAAACAAAAGAUAGAGACUGAAAGGAGAAAAUGUGGCUAGGUUAAGAGAGGCGAGAGGAAUGGCAUGAAAAAUAGUUUAUAAAAUAAAAAAUAGAA